UCCGACAUAGUAUAGUGGCUAGUAUCCCCGCCUGUCACGCGGGAGACCGGGGUUCGAUUCCCCGUGUCGGAG
This is a transfer RNA of Phaeodactylum tricornutum CCAP 1055/1, 72 nucleotides long. It matches the Rfam family "tRNA". Rfam says of the family: Transfer RNA (tRNA) molecules are approximately 80 nucleotides in length. Their secondary structure includes four short double-helical elements and three loops (D, anti-codon, and T loops). The record is from Rfam. NCBI's taxonomy places the organism in Eukaryota, Bacillariophyta, Bacillariophyceae, Surirellales, Neidiaceae.